This 253-nucleotide ribosomal RNA is filed under the name uncultured bacterium. RNAcentral describes it as "partial 16S ribosomal RNA". It matches the Rfam family "Bacterial small subunit ribosomal RNA", at positions 524 to 776 of the family's 1533-position model. The record is from RNAcentral.
UACGAAGGGGGAUAGCGUUGCUCGGAAUCACUGGGCGUAAAGGGCGCGUAGGCGGGAUGGCAAGUCGGUCGUGAAAUCCUUCGGCUCAACCGAAGAACGUCGGCCGAUACUGCCGUUCUUGAGGGAUGCAGAGGAGAUUGGAAUUCCCGGUGUAGCGGUGAAAUGUGUAGAGAUCGGGAGGAACACCGGUGGCGAAGGCGGGUCUCUGGGCAGUAACUGACGCUGAGGAGCGAAAGCGUGGGGAGCGAACAGG